UUGGAAGAAGGUCUGGUCUGGAGUCGGAUGAGUUAGAAACAGACUUUUAAUGCUUUGGAUACGCCUGAGCAUUGCCGGAGAGGCCAUGGAACCAUAGAUCUGAGAAGACUUGAAAGAGAACUGUCAAGGUCAGACCUCAAAACUUCGAACAUCCAGGGAUUUAUGGUAGAAGGGGGUGAAUACAUAUCAUCCAUGGCCUGAGAAGCCAUAAAUUCUAGUGAAAGGGUGGAAAAAGGGUCGAAAACGACUAGGAUUCCAAAGAACCUUCGAGGGUGUUUUGAGAGAGGAGAGUAUUCAAAGGC
Molecule: long non-coding RNA, 302 nt
Filed under: Nicotiana benthamiana
Lineage: Eukaryota; Viridiplantae; Streptophyta; Magnoliopsida; Solanales; Solanaceae
Description: long non-coding RNA (NBEN_LNC026709)
Source: RNAcentral